GCUCUUCAUGUUAAAGCACUGUACUGGGAUUUGUGAAAUCCAGGACUGCUCCUACCUUUGUCACAGGAAGAGUCUUUACUAAUCUGAUUAUUUCCUACCAAGCUAUCAUUCUCUAAGGCAGGACAGAGGAAGUUGUUGGCAAGAUGGGCAGAUGGAUGGCAAGCUGCCACAUGGCCUGAAGCGUGCAGUCCACAUUUAUCUAGACCCAGAGGGCUUAGCAUGGCACAUUUUAGAGCCUACAGAACAAAUCACUUUUCUGUAAGUAUCUAUGCCAUACAACAAAGCUCAAAAACAAAUGGACAGCAAGGAAAAAU
RNAcentral lists this long non-coding RNA (314 nucleotides) under Crocodylus porosus (Australian saltwater crocodile). RNAcentral describes it as "lncRNA (ENSCPRG00005012854.1)". Lineage: Eukaryota; Metazoa; Chordata; Crocodylia; Crocodylidae. The record is from RNAcentral.